CAGACUUUGGGACUUGAAUGAAGUCACAAAACAAGGCAAAUGUGGAAGACAAAGAUAGCUCAUAAACUAGCACUUUAUUUAUUUAAGAACAAGACAGAAUGAAGUUUACAGACACUGUCUUCUGGUCCUCCAAACCCCUGCUUCCUCCACAUCAUAUACACACCAGAUUCAGGCUCUAAAGUCCUAAGAUCUCAUUCUCAUUUUGAAAACUGCAACUACUCAAAAACAGUCCAUUUCAGCGUGAUGCUCUAAGACACAGACGCCGCAAAAAGGUAUUUUUACACUCUCUGGUAUUUGCCAAGGUUAUUUUGUAG
This 314-nucleotide long non-coding RNA is filed under the name Canis lupus familiaris (dog). RNAcentral describes it as "lncRNA (ENSCAFG00845011425.1)". The record is from RNAcentral. Lineage: Eukaryota; Metazoa; Chordata; Mammalia; Carnivora; Canidae.